GCCUAAGCCUCCCCUCCCCCUGAAGGCACCAGAUCCCAUCUGUUCUUAGAAGUGAAGCAGUGUCAGUCCUGGUUAGUACUUGGAUGGAAUACUAUCAGUGAAUACCAAGUGCUGUAGACU
RNAcentral lists this ribosomal RNA (120 nucleotides) under Anolis carolinensis (green anole). The record is from RNAcentral. Lineage: Eukaryota; Metazoa; Chordata; Lepidosauria; Squamata; Anolidae.